This 986-nucleotide ribosomal RNA is filed under the name Scolecohyalosporium baoshanense. RNAcentral describes it as "SSU rRNA". It matches the Rfam family "Eukaryotic small subunit ribosomal RNA", at positions 101 to 1096 of the family's 1831-position model. The record is from RNAcentral. Lineage: Eukaryota; Fungi; Ascomycota; Dothideomycetes; Pleosporales; Parabambusicolaceae.
UUAAAUCAGUUAUCGUUUAUUUGAUAGUACCUUACUACUUGGAUAACCGUGGUAAUUCUAGAGCUAAUACAUGCUGAAAACCCCAACUUCGGGAGGGGUGUAUUUAUUAGAUAAAAAACCAACGCCCUUCGGGGCUUCUUGGUGAUUCAUGAUAACUUCUCAGAUCGCAUGGCCUUGCGCCGGCGACGGUUCAUUCAAAUUUCUGCCCUAUCAACUUUCGAUGGUAAGGUAUUGGCUUACCAUGGUUUCAACGGGUAACGGGGAAUUAGGGUUCGAUUCCGGAGAGGGAGCCUGAGAAACGGCUACCACAUCCAAGGAAGGCAGCAGGCGCGCAAAUUACCCAAUCCCGACUCGGGGAGGUAGUGACAAUAAAUACUGAUACAGGGCUCUUUUGGGUCUUGUAAUUGGAAUGAGUACAAUUUAAACCUCUUAACGAGGAACAAUUGGAGGGCAAGUCUGGUGCCAGCAGCCGCGGUAAUUCCAGCUCCAAUAGCGUAUAUUAAAGUUGUUGCAGUUAAAAAGCUCGUAGUUGAACCUUUGGCCUGGCUGGUGGGUCCGCCUCACCGCGUGCACUCGUCCGGCCGGGCCUUCUCUUCUGGAGAACCUCAUGCCCUUCACUGGGUGUGCUGGGGACCAGGACUUUUACUUUGAAAAAAUUAGAGUGUUCAAAGCAGGCCUUUGCUCGAAUACGUUAGCAUGGAAUAAUAGAAUAGGACGUGCGGUCCUAUUUUGUUGGUUUCUAGGACCGCCGUAAUGAUUAAUAGGGACAGUCGGGGGCAUCAGUAUUCAAUUGUCAGAGGUGAAAUUCUUGGAUUUAUUGAAGACUAACUACUGCGAAAGCAUUUGCCAAGGAUGUUUUCAUUAAUCAGUGAACGAAAGUUAGGGGAUCGAAGACGAUCAGAUACCGUCGUAGUCUUAACCAUAAACUAUGCCGACUAGGGAUCGGGCGGUGUUUCUAUAUUGACCCGCUCGGCACCUUACGAGAA